CAGCCGCCGCGGUAAAACGUAGGGUGCAAGCGUUAAUCGGAAUUACUGGGCGUAAAGUGUGCGCAGGCGGUUAUAUAAGUCAGAUGUGAAAUCCCCGGGCUCAACCUGGGAACUGCAUUUGAGACUGUAUGGCUAGAGUGUGUCAGAGGGGGGUAGAAUUCCACGUGUAGCAGUGAAAUGCGUAGAUAUGCGGAGGAACACCGAUGGCGAAGGCAAUCCCCUGGACCUGUACUGACGCUCAUGCACGAAAGCGUGGGGAGCAAACAGGAUUAGAUACCCGCGUAGUCCCUGUCUCUUAUAC
Molecule: ribosomal RNA, 301 nt
Filed under: uncultured bacterium
Lineage: Bacteria
Description: partial 16S ribosomal RNA
Rfam family: Bacterial small subunit ribosomal RNA
Source: RNAcentral